AACGAACGCUGGCGGCGCGUUUUAAGCAUGCAAGUCGAACGGUAGAGUAGUGCUUGCACUACUUGAGAGUGGCGAACGGGUGAGUAACGCGUAGAUGAUCUGCCCUGCAGUUGGGGAUAGCCCAUGGAAACAUGGGGUAAUACCGAAUGAGUUGCUCUGACUUUGGUUGGAGUAGGAAAGGAGCUUCGGCUUCGCUGCGGGAUGAGUCUGCGUAUGAUUAGCUAGUUGGUGGGGUAAAGGCCUACCAAGGCGACGAUCAUUAGCCGGCCUGAGAGGGUGACCGGCCACAUUGGGACUGAGACACGGCCCAGACUCCUACGGGAGGCAGCAGCUAAGAAUCUUCCGCAAUGGGCGCAAGCCUGACGGAGCGACGCCGCGUGGGUGAAGAAUGCCGAGAGGUUGUAAAACCCUUUUCUCACAGAAGAAUAAUUCCCUGAGGUAAUGCGGGGGAGAUGACGUUAUGUGAGGAAUAAGCACCGGCCAAUUACGUGCCAGCAGCCGCGGUAACACGUAAGGUGCGAGCGUUGUUCGGAAUUAUUGGGCGUAAAGGGCUCGUAGGCGGCCUGCCAAGUCUCACGUGAAAGACCGGGGCUCAACCCCGGGGACGCGAGGGAAACUGGCAAGCUUGAAUCCUGGAGGGGGUACUGGAAUUCCUAGUGUAGGGGUGAAAUCUGUUGAUAUUAGGAAGAACACCGGAGGCGAAGGCGAGUACCUGGCCAAGGAUUGACGCUGAUGAGCGAAAGCGUAGGGAGCGAACAGGAUUAGAUACCCUGGUAGUCUACGCCGUAAACGAUGUGCAC
RNAcentral lists this ribosomal RNA (800 nucleotides) under uncultured Spirochaetota bacterium. Its description in RNAcentral is "bacterial SSU rRNA". It matches the Rfam family "Bacterial small subunit ribosomal RNA", at positions 28 to 816 of the family's 1533-position model. Lineage: Bacteria; Pseudomonadati; Spirochaetota. The record is from RNAcentral.